This is a long non-coding RNA of Zalophus californianus (California sea lion), 1352 nucleotides long. RefSeq lists it as uncharacterized. The transcript has 3 exons. The record is from RefSeq and is a predicted model, not a curated record. NCBI's taxonomy places the organism in Eukaryota, Metazoa, Chordata, Mammalia, Carnivora, Otariidae.
UCAUCAGUCCAUUCACUGAGUGCGAUCAAUCACGGUGGCUCAUUCAGGCGACUCAUCAGCUGGGCGGGCCAUUCAUUCAUUAAUAGUAAGCCCAGCAACCCUUCUGUGGGCCGUGCUCCCCGCCGCUGUCUGUAGUCCUCCCAGGGCCCAGGAGGGGGGAUGUCCUUGCCCCCUCCCUAGGAACAGGAAAGCUGAGGCCGCCGUCCCUUCUUGAGCCAUGCCCUCCCCCCGCCUCCGCUGGACCAGGGACCCCUGCUCUGCAAAAGCUGGAGAGCCCCAUGCUGCAUGGAAAGUGCCUGCACCGGCUUGCCUCCCCACCACGGGGCACCGGGGUCCCCUUCCUCCACGUGCUCACCAGCACCUGUCUCUGGUCUUCGUGAGGGCAGCCAUGCUGACAUGUAUGAGGGGCGAUCCUGUUGUGGUGAACAAAUUCACUUUAAACCCAACACUUUGCGAAAGCAGUUGUAAUGGAAAAGGACAUUUCACGAGAUCGCACCAAGUGGAAUGCUAGUCUGGCUGACCACACGUCUCGAGGAAGUGUGAGAUCAUCCUGGAUCAGACGGGGUCCCAAAUCCAAUGACUGGCAUCCUUCUAAGAGAAGGGAGGUCUACAUCGGGGGACAGAGGGAGGAAGGACCGCGUGAAGACACGCGCAGAGACCGGAGUGAGGCGGCCACAUGCCAGGAUGGCCAGCAACACCAGAAGCCAGGAGGGAGGUGGGGAACGGAUGCUCCCUCUGAGCCCCCAGAGGAAACCGGCCCACCGACCCCUUGAUCUCAGACCUCUGGUCUCCAGAGCGGUGGGAACACAUUUGUGUUAUUUUGAGCCGCGUGGUUUGUGGUCAUUUGUUACGGUGGCCCUGGGAAACACACACAGCAAGUGGGGCUGGUUUUGUGUUUUGGUUUCCAGUGAUAAAGUCUCCCCCUUUUUCAGCACAUUGAAUUUAUAAGGUCAGUCAAGAGUCGAGGGAGUGAUAGCUCAGGUAUGUUGAGGCAGGCACCGUCUGGAGGGAAAGCAGGCUGAGCCAGGUGGCGUGGGGCCCAGGAGCAGGGUGGGCUAAGGGCCACAGCGCUCAGGUUCUGGGGUGGGUGAGGUGCCUGGAGGGCAGGGGGGGCCUCCUGCUGCCCCCCUCUUGCACCUUCGAGUAAAUUCCUGGGAAGCCCCACGUGUUCCCGUCUGGGUGAUUCAGACCUCUCUUCCUUAGGAGAGAGGCGCUUCAGAUAGGGUUUUUUCCCACCGCUCUCAAGGGCCACGAGGUGUCAGGACAGGAGGGGAAGGGGGUUUCCAGCAGGCGGUCGCCGGGAAGCCAUCUUCCCUGAGCAUGGGACCCAAGGUCAUUCGCUGGCAGGAUGC